RNAcentral lists this ribosomal RNA (269 nucleotides) under uncultured prokaryote. RNAcentral describes it as "partial 16S ribosomal RNA". It matches the Rfam family "Bacterial small subunit ribosomal RNA", at positions 524 to 792 of the family's 1533-position model. The record is from RNAcentral.
UACGUAGGUGGCAAGCGUUAUCCGGAAUUAUUGGGCGUAAAGAGCGCGCAGGUGGUUGAUUAAGUCUGAUGUGAAAGCCCACGGCUUAACCGUGGAGGGUCAUUGGAAACUGGUCGACUUGAGUGCAGAAGAGGGAAGUGGAAUUCCAUGUGUAGCGGUGAAAUGCGUAGAGAUAUGGAGGAACACCAGUGGCGAAGGCGGUUUCCUGGUCUGUAACUGACACUGAGGCGCGAAAGCGUGGGGAGCAAACAGGAUUAGAUACCCCUGUA